This 591-nucleotide ribosomal RNA is filed under the name Candida albicans. RNAcentral's name for it is "partial large subunit ribosomal RNA". It matches the Rfam family "Eukaryotic large subunit ribosomal RNA", at positions 51 to 656 of the family's 3401-position model. Lineage: Eukaryota; Fungi; Ascomycota; Pichiomycetes; Serinales; Debaryomycetaceae. The record is from RNAcentral.
CGGAGGAAAAGAAACCAACAGGGAUUGCCUCAGUAGCGGCGAGUGAAGCGGCAAAAGCUCAAAUUUGAAAUCUGGCGUCUUUGGCGUCCGAGUUGUAAUUUGAAGAAGGUAUCUUUGGGCCCGGCUCUUGUCUAUGUUCCUUGGAACAGGACGUCACAGAGGGUGAGAAUCCCGUGCGAUGAGAUGACCCGGGUCUGUGUAAAGUUCCUUCGACGAGUCGAGUUGUUUGGGAAUGCAGCUCUAAGUGGGUGGUAAAUUCCAUCUAAAGCUAAAUAUUGGCGAGAGACCGAUAGCGAACAAGUACAGUGAUGGAAAGAUGAAAAGAACUUUGAAAAGAGAGUGAAAAAGUACGUGAAAUUGUUGAAAGGGAAGGGCUUGAGAUCAGACUUGGUAUUUUGCAUGCUGCUCUCUCGGGGGCGGCCGCUGCGGUUUACCGGGCCAGCAUCGGUUUGGAGCGGCAGGAUAAUGGCGGAGGAAUGUGGCACGGCUUCUGCUGUGUGUUAUAGCCUCUGACGAUACUGCCAGCCUAGACCGAGGACUGCGGUUUUUAACCUAGGAUGUUGGCAUAAUGAUCUUAAGUCGCCCGUCUUA